Molecule: ribosomal RNA, 253 nt
Filed under: uncultured bacterium
Lineage: Bacteria
Description: partial 16S ribosomal RNA
Rfam family: Bacterial small subunit ribosomal RNA
Source: RNAcentral
UACAGAGGUCUCAAGCGUUGUUCGGAUUCAUUGGGCGUAAAGGGUGCGUAGGCGGCGCGGUAAGUCGGGUGUGAAAUCUCGGGGCUUAACUCCGAAACUGCAUUCGAUACUGCCGUGCUUGAGGACUGGAGAGGAGACUGGAAUUUACGGUGUAGCGGUGAAAUGCGUAGAUAUCAGGAGGAACACCGGUGGCGAAGGCGCUGCUCUGGGCCGGUACUGACGCUGAGGAGCGAAAGCGUGGGUAGCAAACAGG